Long non-coding RNA from Homo sapiens (human), 158 nucleotides. Ensembl annotates it as long intergenic non-protein coding RNA 1378. The record is from Ensembl. NCBI's taxonomy places the organism in Eukaryota, Metazoa, Chordata, Mammalia, Primates, Hominidae.
GAGGACAAGACCCUGGCACUUAAUAGAAUAGAAGUGACUGAAAAUUGAAUGAUGAUUCCUGUGGAGAGUAUAAAAUAGUGGCAGAACUGAACCUCAAAUCUAUAAAAUCUCCCUCAACAGGAUCAAACUCUGCUGCUUCUUCACCAAGUCUCGAGUAU